GCCUUGUGCCCAAGGCGCAACUUCCACAACUAAGAUAGACACACACCAUGCAAUUCUCUAUCAUAAAAUAUAAAUUUCAGCUGGAAUAGGAAAUAGCAGAGGCAAAUUCUGCUGACUGAAUUGUGAUUCUUCUUUUGCAGAAUCAGGCUUGAAGACAGUAGACAAAACCAAGAAAUACAACAUAAAGCUAUCACAAUCAAGUUGCACUACAUAUCACUUCUAAUCUUAUGUUUCAUGAAAGGAUAAAGCA
RNAcentral lists this unclassified non-coding RNA (250 nucleotides) under Hevea brasiliensis (rubber tree). Lineage: Eukaryota; Viridiplantae; Streptophyta; Magnoliopsida; Malpighiales; Euphorbiaceae. The record is from RNAcentral.